This 64-nucleotide transfer RNA is filed under the name Cyrtanaspis phalerata. Its description in RNAcentral is "tRNA-Asp". The record is from RNAcentral. Lineage: Eukaryota; Metazoa; Arthropoda; Insecta; Coleoptera; Scraptiidae.
AAAGAUUUAGUUAAUAUAUAACAUCAAUUUGUCAAAUUGAAAUAAAUUUUCAAGUUAGUUUUUA